UACCUGCAGCCCAAGUGGUGGUCGAUUUUAUUGAGUCUAAAACGUUCGUAGCCGGUCUGAUAAAUCCUUGGGUAAAUCGGAAAGCUUAACUUUCCGAAUUCCGAGGAGACUGUCAGACUUGGGACCGGGAGAGGCUAGAGGUACUUCUGGGGUAGGGGUAAAAUCCUGUAAUCCUAGAAGGACCACCGGUGGCGAAGGCGUCUAGCUAGAACGGAUCCGACGGUGAGGGACGAAGCCCUGGGUCGCAAACGGG
RNAcentral lists this ribosomal RNA (253 nucleotides) under uncultured archaeon. RNAcentral's name for it is "partial 16S ribosomal RNA". It matches the Rfam family "Archaeal small subunit ribosomal RNA", at positions 474 to 727 of the family's 1478-position model. The record is from RNAcentral.